Molecule: ribosomal RNA, 899 nt
Filed under: Talaromyces flavus
Lineage: Eukaryota; Fungi; Ascomycota; Eurotiomycetes; Eurotiales; Trichocomaceae
Description: partial large subunit ribosomal RNA
Rfam family: Eukaryotic large subunit ribosomal RNA
Source: RNAcentral
AGCAUAUCAAUAAGCGGAGGAUAUACAAACCAACCCGGGAUUGCCUCAGUAACGGCGAGUGAAGCGGCAAGAGCUCAAAUUUGAAAUCUGGCCCCUUUGGGGUCCGAGUUGUAAUUUGCAGAGGAUGCUUCGGGUGCGGUCCCCGUCUAAGUGCCCUGGAACGGGCCGUCAUAGAGGGUGAGAAUCCCGUCUGGGAUGGGCGGCCGCGCCCGUGUGAAGCUCCUUCGACGAGUCGAGUUGUUUGGGAAUGCAGCUCUAAGCGGGUGGUAAAUUUCAUCUAAAGCUAAAUACUGGCCGGAGACCGAUAGCGCACAAGUAGAGUGAUCGAAAGAUGAAAAGCACUUUGAAAAGAGAGUUAAACAGCACGUGAAAUUGUUGAAAGGGAAGCGUUGUCCACCAGACUCGCCCGGGGGGGUUCAGCCGGCACGUGUGCCGGCGUACUCCUCUCCGGGCGGGCCAGCAUCGGUUUGGGCGGCUGGUGAAAGGCCCCGGGAAUGUAACACCCUUCGGGGUGCCUUAUAGCCCGGGGUGCCAUACAGCCAGCCUGGACCGAGGCCCGCGCUUCGGCGAGGAUGCUGGCGUAAUGGUGGUCAACGGCCCGUCUUGAAACACGGACCAAGGAGUCUAACAUCUAUGCGAGUGUUCGGGUGUCAAACCCGUCCGCGCAGUGAAAGCGAACGGAGGUGGGAGCCCCUCGGGGCGCACCAUCGACCGAUCCUGAUGUCUUCGGAUGGAUUUGAGUAAGAGCAUAGCUGUUGGGACCCGAAAGAUGGUGAACUAUGCCUGAAUACGGGCGAAGCCGGAGGAAACUCUGGUGGAGGCUCGCAGCGGUUCUGACGUGGCAAAUCGAUCGUCAAAUUUGGGGUAUAGGGGGCGAAAGGACUAAUCGGAACCAUCUU